This 253-nucleotide ribosomal RNA is filed under the name uncultured bacterium. RNAcentral's name for it is "partial 16S ribosomal RNA". It matches the Rfam family "Bacterial small subunit ribosomal RNA", at positions 524 to 776 of the family's 1533-position model. The record is from RNAcentral.
UACGUAGGGGGCAAGCGUUGUCCGGAUUUAUUGGGCGUAAAGAGCGUGUAGGCGGCUUGGAAGGUCAGCUGUGAAAACUCGAGGCUCAACCUCGAGACGUCGGUUGAAACCACCUGGCUAGAGUCCGGAAGGGGAGAGUGGAAUUCCCGGUGUAGCGGUGAAAUGCGCAGAUAUCGGGAAGAACACCCGUGGCGAAGGCGGCUCUCUGGGACGGUACUGACGCUGAGACGCGAAAGCGUGGGGAGCGAACAGG